This is a non-coding RNA of Cherax quadricarinatus, 1083 nucleotides long. The record is from RefSeq and is a predicted model, not a curated record. NCBI's taxonomy places the organism in Eukaryota, Metazoa, Arthropoda, Malacostraca, Decapoda, Parastacidae.
CAGGUGUAUAUAAUCAUGUAUCUCCCGCGUGCGCUCCAGGAAAUACAGGUUCAUGAACUUCAAGCGCUCCCAGUAAUUGAGGUGUUUUAUCUCCGUUAUGCGAGUUGUGAAGGUUCUCUGUACAUUUUCUAGAUCAGCAAUUUCACCUGCCUUGAAAGGUGCUGUUAGUGUGCAGCAAUAUUCCAGGCUAGAUAGAACAAGUGACCUGAAGAGUGUCAUCAUGGGCUUGGCAUCCCUUGUUUUGAAGGUUCUCAUUAUCCAUCCUGUCAUUUUUCUAGCAGCUGCGAUUGAUACAAUGUUAUGGUCCUUGAAGGUGAGAUCCUCCAACAUGAUGACUCCCAGGUCUUUGACUUUGGUUUUUCACACUAUUUUGUGGACAGAAUUUGUUUUGUACUCUGAUGAAGUUUUAAUUUCCUCAUGUUUACCAUAUCGGAGUAAUUGAAAUUUCUCAUCAUUGAACUUCAUAUUGUCUUCUGCAGCCCAUUGAAAGAUUUGGUUGAUGUCCGCCUGGAGCCUUGCAGUGUCUACAAUGGAAGACACUGUCAUGCAGAUUCGGGUGUCAUCUGCAAAGGAAGACACGGUGCUGUGACUGAUAUCCUUGUCUAUGUCGGAUAUGAGGAUGAGAAACAAGAUAGGAGUAACAUCACUCCAGACCCACUGUUCACCACUGUGAACAGGCAACAUCACUCCAGACCCACUGUUCACCACUGAGAACAGGUAACAACACUCCAGACCCACUGUUCACCACUGAAGAAAUUGAAAUAUCACUCACAGCUCAUUAAAGAUGGGAGCAUUACAUCCAGUACCCAUUGAUUACCAAACACAAGCAACUUGCUGCCUGGUCCCACUGCUGGGCCACUGACCAGAGGCAACAUCUUGGCCAGUCCCACUGCUGGACCACUGAGUACAGGCAACUUCUUGGCCAGUCCCACUGCUGGAAUCACUGACCACAGGCAACAUCUUGGCCAGUCCCACUGCUGGACCACUGACCACAGGCAACAUCUUGGCCAGUCCCACUGCUGGACCACUGACCACAUCGCACUCAGUUCCACCGACAGCAAAGUUUCACUCACGGACCAUUGA